This 82-nucleotide transfer RNA is filed under the name Persicaria hydropiper. RNAcentral's name for it is "tRNA-Tyr". Lineage: Eukaryota; Viridiplantae; Streptophyta; Magnoliopsida; Caryophyllales; Polygonaceae. The record is from RNAcentral.
CUCGAAUUAUUUGGAACAAAAAAUUCGGAUCUAGAUAACUAGAUAAUAUAAUGAUCGAGAUUCAUAUCAUUAUCUGUAAAUA